AUCAAAGAUGGAAAUAUUUGUGCCGAAUCUUCAUCGACUCAUCAAUCUACUCUUAAUUUCAUGUUCUUCUUUGAUUAUUUUAAUUAUUGCUUAUUCAAAUUAUUAUCAUAUUAAACUAAUAUUUCAAAAUUACGUACACAUUUUCUUUUAAGGAAAUUAUCUUGUUAUUUUCUUCUUCCUUUUUUCUUUACCCACCAUUAAUUAUUAUUCUUUUAUUCUUUAAUUUUAAUUAUUUACUUUCCCGGACAAAAUUAGGCGUUGACAGCUGCCCCUCUUUAUUUAGAUUUGGUUUAAACCAUUUAGGCGUCCCUAUUUUUGUUAGCUAUUCCCAAUUUGGUCCCCUUCUUUUAAAGUUUCCUAAUUGAGUCCUUAUAACUGCUAAUUUCAACCAAUUGAGCCCCUGCCGUCAAAUUUUGUUAACGGAGUUAACUUUCUGCAGAGGUGGUGGGCUGACGUGUUUAAAUGGUUUCAACGUGUCACUCUCUUCCUCCCACGCCAUUUUCCUCUUCCUUCUUCCUCCUUCCAUUCUUCUCUCUUCCAACCACUUCCAACUUUCUUAAAAAAAAAAUCCAAAUCUGCAUAAUUCACUGACUCAUUGUCAUUAAGCAAAUAUCAACAAAAGGACUUGAUUCAUCAAGCUCGUAUGUUCUUCCUGAUCCCUCUUCCGGAAGUAAAGAGCUCCGCUGAAAAUGGGUCGCACCUCUACCAACAAAGGGUAUCAAAGAAAUUAAUCCAAGGCAGAACUCAACAUGGAUGCUUUGUUUUUUGUUUAUUUAUUCCUGCUCUUAGAAGUUAUUAUUACGAAUAAAAAAGCUUAACAGUGGUCUCUAUCUCAAUAC
This 839-nucleotide long non-coding RNA is filed under the name Vigna radiata. Its description in RNAcentral is "long non-coding RNA (VRAD_LNC008644)". Lineage: Eukaryota; Viridiplantae; Streptophyta; Magnoliopsida; Fabales; Fabaceae. The record is from RNAcentral.